RNAcentral lists this ribosomal RNA (465 nucleotides) under Vreelandella stevensii. Its description in RNAcentral is "partial 16S ribosomal RNA". It matches the Rfam family "Bacterial small subunit ribosomal RNA", at positions 338 to 795 of the family's 1533-position model. Lineage: Bacteria; Pseudomonadati; Pseudomonadota; Gammaproteobacteria; Oceanospirillales; Halomonadaceae. The record is from RNAcentral.
CCUACGGGUGGCAGCAGUGGGGAAUAUUGGACAAUGGGCGAAAGCCUGAUCCAGCCAUGCCGCGUGUGUGAAGAAGGCCUUCGGGUUGUAAAGCACUUUCAGUGGGGAAGAAAGCCUUGGGGCUAAUACCCUCGAGGAAGGACAUCACCCACAGAAGAAGUACCGGCUAACUCCGUGCCAGCAGCCGCGGUAAUACGGAGGGUGCGAGCGUUAAUCGGAAUUACUGGGCGUAAAGCGCGCGUAGGCGGUCUGAUAAGCCGGUUGUGAAAGCCCCGGGCUCAACCUGGGAACGGCAUCCGGAACUGUCAGGCUAGAGUGCAGGAGAGGAAGGUAGAAUUCCCGGUGUAGCGGUGAAAUGCGUAGAGAUCGGGAGGAAUACCAGUGGCGAAGGCGGCCUUCUGGACUGACACUGACGCUGAGGUGCGAAAGCGUGGGUAGCAAACAGGAUUAGAUACCCGAGUAGUC